RNAcentral lists this ribosomal RNA (254 nucleotides) under uncultured bacterium. Its description in RNAcentral is "partial 16S ribosomal RNA". It matches the Rfam family "Bacterial small subunit ribosomal RNA", at positions 524 to 776 of the family's 1533-position model. The record is from RNAcentral.
CACGUAGGGUGCGAGCGUUGUCCGGAAUUAUUGGGCGUAAAGAGCUCGUAGGCGGUGUGUCGCGUCGGCCGUGAAAACUUGCAGCUUAACUGUGGGCGUGCGGUCGAUACGGGCAUCACUGGAGUUCGGCAGGGGAGACUGGAAUUCCUGGUGUAGCGGUGAAAUGCGCAGAUAUCAGGAGGAACACCGGUGGCGAAGGCGGGUCUCUGGGCCGAAACUGACGCUGAGGAGCGAAAGCGUGGGGAGCAAACAGG